AGCAGCCGCCACGGGAAUACAGAGGGUGCGAGCGUUAAUCGGAUUUACUGGGCGUAAAGCGUGCGUAGGCGGCUUUUUAAGUCGGAUGUGAAAUCCCUGAGCUUAACUUAGGAAUUGCAUUCGAUACUGGGAAGCUAGAGUAUGGGAGAGGAUGGUAGAAUUCCAGGUGUAGCGGUGAAAUGCGUAGAGAUCUGGAGGAAUACCGAUGGCGAAGGCAGCCAUCUGGCCUAAUACUGACGCUGAGGUACGAAAGCAUGGGGAGCAAACAGGAUUAGAUACCCCAGUAGUCCCUGUCUCUUAUAC
This 303-nucleotide ribosomal RNA is filed under the name uncultured bacterium. RNAcentral describes it as "partial 16S ribosomal RNA". It matches the Rfam family "Bacterial small subunit ribosomal RNA", at positions 507 to 807 of the family's 1533-position model. The record is from RNAcentral.